GUGUCUCUUUGGCUUGAUUAAAACAAAAGAUUCUGAAAAAACUUUGACCUUCCCCCUAACUGCCUAAAAGAAUUUAGGAUAGAAGGCCUGUCCCCAGGAUGAGCCAUCACCACAGAUAACUCUGGGUAUUGGUAGACUGGGAGAGUUCUUGUUAAGCCCAUUUUCAUCAAAGUUCUGUCUCUAGGGUCAUACUGUCUACAGACGGCCCAAGAAACAUUUGUUUACCAAAAUUUGCUUUUCCAUCUCCACGUGAAUUGCCUCCCUCCCCUUUGAAGUCCCAAACCACUACUCUCAACAUCCUCCUUGUCUUUAGCUGAAGAUGGUGUUUAAGGUGGUGGCUUUGGCCAUUUUGACAAGUUACUCAAGUUUGCUGGGUUUCUCCCGUGUAUACAUGUUAUCAAACUUUGUUUGAUUUUCUCUUAUUAUUCUGUCUCACGUCAAUUUAAUUCUUAGACGAGCCAAAAGGACCUAGAGGGUAGAGGAAUAGUUCUGCCUCCCCUGUACUUCUGUGACAAAGGCAGAUAGGACCUCAUCCUACAACAGGUCUCUUCACUUGAACUCCUUAGCCUCUCUCAGUAGCCAGAAGUUAUUAACCAGCAAUCCUAAAUUUGCCUUCUCUGAGCAUAUCCAAUUGUUUCUCCCCAAUUUUGCGUAUUAUGUUGGUGUACCUAUUAUGAUUAUUCUGAGGCAAGAGAAUAAUCAGUCCCUUUCUGUACCUUAGAAAACAGAGGCAGGGAAUAGGCUGACUGUAAAAUUGUGUGGGAAGGAAAGAGUAUAGGAGUUUUUCUACCAGAAAAGCCCUGGGGAGGAGAAUUUAGCUUUGUAUCAUGAUUGUCUUUUCCAGCAUUGGAAAGAGGUGGUCAAACUCAAUGAGAAAUGAAAUCGAACUGAGAAUCUUGCACUAAUUUGCCUCUUCCCAGUUGACCUCCCGGAGGGGUACAUUCCAUGAAGCUCCUAGGGAGUGCUCUCAAGGAAGGCAAUGACGUUGUUGAGAGGGUGUGCUCUGCCUCCCAUGCUGUAAGAAGGCAUCUCACAAACCACAGGUAAAUGUGAACUGAC
RNAcentral lists this long non-coding RNA (1059 nucleotides) under Equus caballus (horse). RNAcentral describes it as "lncRNA (ENSECAG00000046222.1)". The record is from RNAcentral. Lineage: Eukaryota; Metazoa; Chordata; Mammalia; Perissodactyla; Equidae.